UCGGAGGGGAAAGGGGCGGACACCGAGGCGAGGCGGUGCCCGGAGCGUGCGCACUCGCUUGCCUUCCCACGGUGCGUGUGCGCAUGCGCCUGGGGCACGAGGCGCGCGCGCAGAGCUGCAGCUGAUUAACUUAACAUCCUGGGGCGCAGCGUUCAAGGAGAAAAACAGGAUGCUCUGAGAGAAGCUUAGCAGUGCUGUGCCGAAGCCAGCUCCUUCUGGUGGGGGCAAUUAAAAAUUUCCCAGGCUUAGCAAGAUCAAAUGGGUGUGUGCAGUGCUCUCUCUGACAUGCAAUUUAUGGAACUGUUUCUUCGUAAAUGUGAUCUCUGUACUUCCUGUGAAGCAUUUGAGGUCCUGUUUGGAGAAUUUGAUGGAAUUUCACUUGUUGCCCAGGCUGGGGCACAGUGGCACAAUUCCAGCU
This is a non-coding RNA of Chlorocebus sabaeus (green monkey), 418 nucleotides long. NCBI's taxonomy places the organism in Eukaryota, Metazoa, Chordata, Mammalia, Primates, Cercopithecidae. The record is from RefSeq and is a predicted model, not a curated record.